GGGGUUGGCUUAGUGGUAGAGCGCUUUCCUAGCAUGUGUGAGGUACUGGGUUCGAUCCUCAGCACUACA
This 69-nucleotide transfer RNA is filed under the name Marmota monax (woodchuck). Its description in RNAcentral is "tRNA.Ala". The record is from RNAcentral. Lineage: Eukaryota; Metazoa; Chordata; Mammalia; Rodentia; Sciuridae.